AUGAUAAGUGUUGAUCGAGUUGUCCUUUUUAAACAUCUGAUUCAAAGAACCCAGAAAAUUGUUACUGGAUUGAAAGAGAGAACAUUAUCUUAUGGAGGCAAGGAGACUUUGAUCAAGGCGGUGGCCCAAGCCAUCCCAACUUAUGCGAUGAGUGUAAAAUUCCCAAAGAAAAUUUUCAAGGGAAUCACUAAUGCCAAUUCAUAAUAUUGGUGGGGUGAUGAGAAAAACCAACAUAAAAUGCAUUGGUUCGGAUGGUGGAAGAUGUGUGUCCCAAAGGAGAGAGGUGGUAUGUGUUUAUGUGAUGUGAGUAGAUUUAACCUGGCAAUGCUUGCAAAACAAUGUUGGAGGCUAAUUAAGAAUUAUGAGUCAUUAUGUGCCAGGGUUCUCCGAUCAAAAUAUUAUCCUCUCGAGAUAUACUUAUUUGUUAGCUGA
RNAcentral lists this ribosomal RNA (432 nucleotides) under Triticum aestivum (bread wheat). RNAcentral describes it as "partial small subunit ribosomal RNA". The record is from RNAcentral. Lineage: Eukaryota; Viridiplantae; Streptophyta; Magnoliopsida; Poales; Poaceae.